UUAAGCGACUAAGCGUACACGGUGGAUGCCCUGGCAGUCAGAGGCGAUGAAGGACGUGCUAAUCUGCGAAAAGCGUCGGUAAGGUGAUAUGAACCGUUAUAACCGGCGAUGUCCGAAUGGGGAAACCCAGUGUGAUUCGUCACACUAUCGUUAACUGAAUACAUAGGUUAACGAGGCGAACCGGGGGAACUGAAACAUCUAAGUACCCCGAGGAAAAGAAAUCAACCGAGAUUCCCCCAGUAGCGGCGAGCGAACGGGGAGCAGCCCAGAGUCUGAAUCAGCUUGUGUGUUAGUGGAACGGUCUGGAAAGUCCGACGGUACAGGGUGAUAGUCCCGUACACCAAAAUGCACAGGCUGUGAACUCGAAGAGUAGGGCGGGACACGUGGUAUCCUGUCUGAAUAUGGGGGGACCAUCCUCCAAGGCUAAAUACUCCUGACUGACCGAUAGUGAACCAGUACCGUGAGGGAAAGGCGAAAAGAACCCCGGCGAGGGGAGUGAAAAAGAACCUGAAACCGUGUACGUACAAGCAGUGGGAGCACCUUCGGGUGUGACUGCGUACCUUUUGUAUAAUGGGUCAGCGACUUAUAUUCUGUAGCAAGGUUAACCGUAUAGGGGAGCCGCAGGGAAACCGAGUCUUAACUGGGCGUUAAGUUGCAGGGUAUAGACCCGAAACCCGGUGAUCUAGCCAUGGGCAGGUUGAAGGUUGGGUAACACUAACUGGAGGACCGAACCGACUAAUGUUGAAAAAUUAGCGGAUGACUUGUGGCUGGGGGUGAAAGGCCAAUCAAACCGGGAGAUAGCUGGUUCUCCCCGAAAGCUAUUUAGGUAGCGCCUCGUGAACUCAUCUUCGGGGGUAGAGCACUGUUUCGGCUAGGGGGUCAUCCCGACUUACCAACCCGAUGCAAACUACGAAUACCGAAGAAUGUUAUCACGGGAGACACACGGCGGGUGCUAACGUCCGUCGUGAAGAGGGAAACAACCCAGACCGCCAGCUAAGGUCCCAAAGUCAUGGUUAAGUGGGAAACGAUGUGGGAAGGCACAGACAGCCAGGAUGUUGGCUUAGAAGCAGCCAUCAUUUAAAGAAAGCGUAAUAGCUCACUGGUCGAGUCGGCCUGCGCGGAAGAUGUAACGGGGCUAAACCAUGCACCGAAGCUGCGGCAGCGACACUAUGUGUUGUUGGGUAGGGGAGCGUUCUGUAAGCCUGCGAAGGUGUGCUGUGAGGCAUGCUGGAGGUAUCAGAAGUGCGAAUGCUGACAUAAGUAACGAUAAAGCGGGUGAAAAGCCCGCUCGCCGGAAGACCAAGGGUUCCUGUCCAACGUUAAUCGGGGCAGGGUGAGUCGACCCCUAAGGCGAGGCCGAAAGGCGUAGUCGAUGGGAAACAGGUUAAUAUUCCUGUACUUGGUGUUACUGCGAAGGGGGGACGGAGAAGGCUAUGUUAGCCGGGCGACGGUUGUCCCGGUUUAAGCAUGUAGGCUGGUUGUCCAGGCAAAUCCGGAUAAUCAAGGCUGAGGUGUGAUGACGAGGCACUACGGUGCUGAAGUAACAAAUGCCCUGCUUCCAGGAAAAGCCUCUAAGCAUCAGGUAACAUUAAAUCGUACCCCAAACCGACACAGGUGGUCAGGUAGAGAAUACCAAGGCGCUUGAGAGAACUCGGGUGAAGGAACUAGGCAAAAUGGUGCCGUAACUUCGGGAGAAGGCACGCUGGUGUGUAGGUGAAGUCCCUGCGGAUGGAGCUGAGACCAGUCGAAGAUACCAGCUGGCUGCAACUGUUUAUUAAAAACACAGCACUGUGCAAACACGAAAGUGGACGUAUACGGUGUGACGCCUGCCCGGUGCCGGAAGGUUAAUUGAUGGGGUUAUCCGUAAGGAGAAGCUCUUGAUCGAAGCCCCGGUAAACGGCGGCCGUAACUAUAACGGUCCUAAGGUAGCGAAAUUCCUUGUCGGGUAAGUUCCGACCUGCACGAAUGGCGUAAUGAUGGCCAGGCUGUCUCCACCCGAGACUCAGUGAAAUUGAACUCGCUGUGAAGAUGCAGUGUACCCGCGGCAAGACGGAAAGACCCCGUGAACCUUUACUAUAGCUUGACACUGAACAUUGAGCCUUGAUGUGUAGGAUAGGUGGGAGGCUUUGAAGCGUGGACGCCAGUCUGCGUGGAGCCAACCUUGAAAUACCACCCUUUAAUGUUUGAUGUUCUAACGUUGGCCCCUGACCGGGGUUGCGGACAGUGUCUGGUGGGUAGUUUGACUGGGGCGGUCUCCUCCCAAAGCGUAACGGAGGAGCACGAAGGUUAGCUAAUCCUGGUCGGACAUCAGGAGGUUAGUGCAAUGGCAUAAGCUAGCUUGACUGCGAGCGUGACGGCGCGAGCAGGUGCGAAAGCAGGUCAUAGUGAUCCGGUGGUUCUGAAUGGAAGGGCCAUCGCUCAACGGAUAAAAGGUACUCCGGGGAUAACAGGCUGAUACCGCCCAAGAGUUCAUAUCGACGGCGGUGUUUGGCACCUCGAUGUCGGCUCAUCACAUCCUGGGGCUGAAGUAGGUCCCAAGGGUAUGGCUGUUCGCCAUUUAAAGUGGUACGCGAGCUGGGUUUAGAACGUCGUGAGACAGUUCGGUCCCUAUCUGCCGUGGGCGCUGGAGAAUUGAGGGGGGCUGCUCCUAGUACGAGAGGACCGGAGUGGACGCAUCACUGGUGUUCGGGUUGUCAUGCCAAUGGCACUGCCCGGUAGCUAAAUGCGGAAGAGAUAAGUGCUGAAAGCAUCUAAGCACGAAACUUGCCCCGAGAUGAGUUCUCCCUGAGACUUUAAGUCUCCUGAAGGAACGUUAAAGACGAUGACGUUGAUAGGCCGGGUGUGUAAGCGCAGCGAUGCGUUGAGCUAACCGGUACUAAUGAACCGUGAGGCUUAACCUU
RNAcentral lists this ribosomal RNA (2900 nucleotides) under Klebsiella pneumoniae. RNAcentral describes it as "23S ribosomal RNA". It matches the Rfam family "Bacterial large subunit ribosomal RNA". Lineage: Bacteria; Pseudomonadati; Pseudomonadota; Gammaproteobacteria; Enterobacterales; Enterobacteriaceae. The record is from RNAcentral.